RNAcentral lists this ribosomal RNA (311 nucleotides) under uncultured bacterium. Its description in RNAcentral is "bacterial SSU rRNA". It matches the Rfam family "Bacterial small subunit ribosomal RNA", at positions 199 to 507 of the family's 1533-position model. The record is from RNAcentral.
GAUUAAAGGUAUUCCGGUAGACGAUGGGGAUGCGUUCCAUUAGAUAGUAGGCGGGGUAACGGCCCACCUAGUCUUCGAUGGAUAGGGGUUCUGAGAGGAAGGUCCCCCACAUUGGAACUGAGACACGGUCCAAACUCCUACGGGAGGCAGCAGUGAGGAAUAUUGGUCAAUGGGCGAGAGCCUGAACCAGCCAAGUAGCGUGCAGGAUGACGGCCCUAUGGGUUAGUAAACUGUCUUUUAUAAGGGAAUAAAGUGGGAGUCGUGACUUCUUUUUGCAUGUACCUUAUGAAUAAGGACCGGCUAAUUCCGUG